CGCAAACGAGAGGGAGAGGGCCGGUGUUAACCGACCGCCGAAGGAGCAGCCGCCCAGGAAACUCUUAGGCACCCGGACCGCUCGUUCGUU
This 90-nucleotide non-coding RNA is filed under the name Methylorubrum extorquens DM4. RNAcentral describes it as "glycine riboswitch". It matches the Rfam family "Glycine riboswitch aptamer". Rfam says of the family: This family represents the bacterial glycine riboswitch. Glycine riboswitches usually consist of two metabolite-binding aptamers domains with similar structures in tandem. The aptamers cooperatively bind glycine to regulate the expression of downstream genes. The record is from RNAcentral. Lineage: Bacteria; Pseudomonadati; Pseudomonadota; Alphaproteobacteria; Hyphomicrobiales; Methylobacteriaceae.